Molecule: long non-coding RNA, 2186 nt
Filed under: Physcomitrium patens
Lineage: Eukaryota; Viridiplantae; Streptophyta; Bryopsida; Funariales; Funariaceae
Description: long non-coding RNA (PPAT_LNC011340)
Source: RNAcentral
GGCAAAUAAAGUUGGAUGAUGUUUUCUACAUCCCGUCUUUGGAGCAAAAUCUGAUGUCAGUAGGGACACUGACAGACAAAGGUAACAUGGUUGUUUUCAUGAAAGAUAAAUGUUUUGUUCUCAACAAUUCACAUGACAGACUAAUAAUAGGCUCUUGCAGUAGAGAUAAUACAAAUGGCCUCUACAGAAUGGGAGAACAUACCAUCUACGACGUAAAUAAUAAAACACACAAGGAAAAGAUGAGUUUAUGGCAUCGCAAAUAUGGACACUUAAGCUAUUCAGGUCUACGUCAUCUUUAUCUAAAACAUAGAGUUGCUAACUUAUCAAAAAUAGAUUUUAUCAAAGAUACUUAUCAUGAUUGUCUAGAUGGUUGCCAAAAGAGAGAAAGUUUUUCUAUCAAAAGUACAUCAAGAGCUCAGCAUGUAUUAGAACUAGUCCAUUCAGAUGUAGUAGGGCCACUUCCUAAAGCAUCCCUAAGUGGUUCAAGAUAUUAUGUCAUAUUUACUAAUGAUCAUUCAAGGAAGAGUUGGCUUUACUUUCUAAAAGCAAAGGGACAAGUAUUUGAAAAAUUCAGAAUCUUUAGGGAGAGAACAGAAAAGGAAAUAGGGAAAGAACUCAAGAUUCUUAGAACUGAUAAAGGAGGAGACUUCUUGUCAAAAUAAUUCAAUGACAAUUGUGACUAGAACGGAAUUUGCAAACAACUUACGCAACCUAGAACUCCACAACAGAAUGGAGUUGCAGAAAGGCGAAAUUGAACAUCGGUGGAAAAAGCAAGAAGCAUGGUGUUUGAGGAAGGAAUACCCAGUUUUCUCAAGGCAGAAGUCAUAAACACAGCCAAUUAUCUUGUAAAUCACAGCCCUACACAAGCAAAUCAUGGAGUCACUCCUGAGCAAAGACAGUGUUUACCAUCACUGGACAACAACUGUGAAACCAGCAAAGACACCUGAUUUCAGCAAUGACUUGAUCCACGAAGGACCAUACUCCCCGGAUGAACAGCCGCACCUCACACCAUUUGAACCAACUUUGGACUUAGUAAAUCACGGCAGCAAAAAGUCAACAUCAAAUCAAAAUCAUGCACCACCAAGAGACAGUAACCCUGUUGGAACUCAUCUCUCCGCACAACAUCACAGGAAACUAAAAGGCAACAAAUUAUCAUCAGUAAACCAAUACCCAAUAAGAGACCGACGGCCCUCCACACAACUUAAGGAUCACCUCACCUUCACCACCGAAAUCAGUGACGAAGAGGAACUUGCAAAUUACAACGAAGCUAUCAUUAGCAAAACAUGGCGAAGAGCGAUUGCGGAAGAAGUAAGCUCCAUCCACAAAAAUGAAUCCAGGGAGGUAACGGAUCUACCCUACGGAAAACGACCCAUAAAGGCAAAAUGGAUUUUCUAAAUCAAAAGAAAUGCACAAGGAGAAAUCAUCAAACACAAAGCCCGCAUUAUUGCUCAAGGUUUUGAGCAGAUUGAAGGAGAGGAUUUUUAAGAGACUUUUGCCCCAGUAGUUCGCAGGAGCACAAUCCGCACAACCAUUGCUCUUCCCACACGGAAGAAAUGGAAACUCAAACAGUUUGACAUUAAGACCGCAUUCUUAAACGGAAAAAUAGAAGAGGAGGUGUAUAUGAAGAUGCCAGAUGGUUUCAGCGGCAAGGACUCAGCAGGGAAGGUCGCUCGGCUGAAACGUGCCAUGUAUGGGUUGCGCCAAGCACCUCGCAACUAGUAUAGCCGCAUAGAUGCUUACCUCACAAAAGAUCUAAAUCUGCAAAAAAAAAAAAACCUCCAAUCCAAACCUCUACUUUUCCAUCACAUACAGAAAAUACACAGUAGUUUUACUCUACGUAGACGACUUAAUUGUAACUGGUGACAAUCAAGAUGAAAUCGGCAAGAUGGAGAUUCUACUCAAAACAAAAUUUGAGAUGACCAGCUUAGGGAGGGCGGCACUGUACCUAGGAGCAGAGCUAACAUACAUAGACGAAGGAAUUUUCAUUCACCAACGCGGGUACCAGCUGAACCUUCUGAAAAAGUAUGAUAUCGAAAAGUGUAAUUUGCUCAAAUUUCCGAUGAAUCCGGGUGUUCACCUGCGAGCAGAGAUGGACUCACCUCUCACCAAUCUCAAGUUAUACCAAAGCAUGACCGACAGCCUAAUUUGGGCCACGAAUACAAGUCCUGACUUAUCACUCGCGGUCG